This 240-nucleotide unclassified non-coding RNA is filed under the name soil metagenome. RNAcentral's name for it is "partial contains 5.8S ribosomal RNA, internal transcribed spacer 2, and large subunit ribosomal RNA". The record is from RNAcentral.
AACAAGGCGUACCUGCGGACCUGCGGAAGGAUCAUUACAGAGAACCUGCCCUUUGGGGUAAGAUCUCCCACCCUUUGUCUACUCUACCUUUGUUGCCUUGGCAGGCCCGUCGUAUGACCACCGGCAUCAGCUGGUCAGUGCCUGCCAGAGGACACUCCCAAAUUCUUCAUUUUGUGUGGUCUGAGCAUCAUAUAUAAUCAUUAAAACUUUUAACAACGGAUCUCAGAUCGGAAGAGCACA